RNAcentral lists this long non-coding RNA (245 nucleotides) under Lathyrus oleraceus (garden pea). RNAcentral describes it as "Pisum sativum (pea) long non-coding RNA (PSAT_LNC031680)". The record is from RNAcentral. Lineage: Eukaryota; Viridiplantae; Streptophyta; Magnoliopsida; Fabales; Fabaceae.
UACUAUCAAAUUGAAUGACUACCCACUCAGGGGUCUUAAACACUGGCACUAUUACAUUGACAUCAUCCCCUAUAUCCCUCGAUUGUUGAAUCUGGAUUACAUUCUCAUCCAUCAACUUCUGGAUAUCCCUCUUGACAAACAUACACCCACGUGGGUUCACAUUACAGAUUGCACAACCAUCAUGGUCGUGCUCACUGAUCAGUUGUCGCACACGGGUCAAAAACGACUAAUAAUAUAUAGUAAAC